Molecule: long non-coding RNA, 479 nt
Organism: Dicentrarchus labrax (European seabass)
Lineage: Eukaryota; Metazoa; Chordata; Actinopteri; Moronidae
Exons: 3
Source: RefSeq, a predicted model, not a curated record
AGAAGUCAACUACUCCUGACAUUUGGAUUUAUUGUCUUCAAACUACAAACUUCAGAAGGUGGCUGUUGGACAAUGAUGUAGGCUUUACAAUCUACCUCAUCAACACACCCAGAAAGAAGAGGCUGCCAGAGUAAACAUGACUGAGGGGCACAGCGAGGCCAGCAUGGCAUCUUUUGUGGGUUCUGCCCGCAGCUAUGAUGAAAUACAAUUAAAACCCAAAGCUGGAGCAGCCUCAGAGGACGAGCAGCUGGUUGGCUUUGGUUGUGGACCAGAGAGCAGCUGGAGGGAGGUGUGGGACAGGAGGGCUGACGGCUACGCUGCCUUCAUCAUGAGAACUAAGUGUUUUCAGGGACUCAGAUGUACAGACUGCAGCAGUAGCUGAUAAGGAAACAGUCGGCCUCUGUCUCCUCUUCAUCAGUUCCUGCCUCAAGUGCACCUGAUGAAGACACCAUGAUGGAUGAUGACGAUGAGGAGCUGGG